GGCUCCGUAGUACAAUGGAUAGUAUGCAAGUUUCCGGAGCUUGAGAUGCAGGUUCGAUUCCUGCCGGGGCUA
This 72-nucleotide transfer RNA is filed under the name Croceimicrobium hydrocarbonivorans. It matches the Rfam family "tRNA". Rfam says of the family: Transfer RNA (tRNA) molecules are approximately 80 nucleotides in length. Their secondary structure includes four short double-helical elements and three loops (D, anti-codon, and T loops). Further hydrogen bonds mediate the characteristic L-shaped molecular structure. tRNAs have two regions of fundamental functional importance: the anti-codon, which is responsible for specific mRNA codon recognition, and the 3' end, to which the tRNAs corresponding amino acid is attached (by aminoacyl-tRNA synthetases). tRNAs cope with the degeneracy of the genetic code in two manners: having more than one tRNA (with a specific anti-codon) for a particular amino acid; and 'wobble' base-pairing, i.e. permitting non-standard base-pairing at the 3rd anti-codon position. Lineage: Bacteria; Pseudomonadati; Bacteroidota; Flavobacteriia; Flavobacteriales; Owenweeksiaceae. The record is from Rfam by way of RNAcentral.